GGCCGUCGCAGCCGGGCAGGGUGACCGGUUCGGCACCGGUCGCGAUCACCAGGUGGUCGUACUCGACCGGUCCGGCAUCGGUCUCGACCACC
This 92-nucleotide transfer RNA is filed under the name Streptomyces rimosus subsp. rimosus. Its description in RNAcentral is "tRNA-Pro(cgg)". The record is from RNAcentral. Lineage: Bacteria; Bacillati; Actinomycetota; Actinomycetes; Kitasatosporales; Streptomycetaceae.